Long non-coding RNA from Triticum dicoccoides, 1622 nucleotides. RefSeq lists it as uncharacterized. The record is from RefSeq and is a predicted model, not a curated record. The transcript is spliced from 4 exons. Lineage: Eukaryota; Viridiplantae; Streptophyta; Magnoliopsida; Poales; Poaceae.
CUUCCUCUCGUCUCCCUCGAUUCUUCUCGCGCAGCCGCACCUACUCCGAGCCCCUCCUCUUCCCUGUGCCACCGGCCUCCCUCCUCUGUGUCUCUCCUCAUUGGUCGUCGCUCCAAGUCGCGGAUCUCCUCGCCGCAGUUGCAGUGGUCGCCGCUGCCGCCGUCUUCGCCCAUCACAGCUUCUCUUCCCCGCGCUCGCCGAUGGCAACCAACAGCGAGGAGGCGGCACCACCACCCGGCCAAAUCUUCUCUCGCAUGCGUAACUUCCUUGCCAAGCCCUUCCGCUGCACGCGUGCCCUCGCGGGCUCGCUCUUCCUCCCCUACGACCUCUCGAGGACGCGUGCGGUGCCGCCGCGGUCCGCCCGCACUGACGAAGGCCCUCACACGGUUGGUUGCAGUACGGGGUUGACAAGGACUUCUGCAACGUGUCGCGCCAUGUCAUCUUUUAGGACAUGGGCUCAGGUAGCACCUAAGCCGUGUACUAAUUGUCCUCCAACGCUAAGGAGUUCGGGAAGAUGGUGUCUGUCAACCAGUUGCAGGUACAAAUUCUCACCACCUUGUCCUUUAGUUGUUCAGUCAAGUAUAUGCCUGCUUGUAAGAACUCUGAAGAAAAUUGUGUUAAUUCUCAUUUUGGACAGUGCUACUGAUGUUGGUUUUGUUGCAAAGGUUAGUUCUGCAAAGUCACACACUCAGGGAGCUCAACGCAAUGGACCGGAAUGUAUUGAUGGACCACUACGCUUUGCGAGAGAAGUUUAAUUUCCUGUUGGUGUCACAAAACAUCCGACUCAAGCAGAAGCAAAAGAGCCAAUGUGUCUUUCAAAGGCAAAAAUCUACUGUAGUCCCACUGCUCAUACCCCCACAACAAAUCUAUUUGUGUGAUAGUAUGACUGAUGAUUGGUAGCCUAAGUCAGUAGGAAAUACAUCAGGGUUAAUACGGCAAUUACCGAAGUACUCCCCAAAUGCGGUGACAAGAUCAAACGAGCAUCCUCAUUGUCUUUGAGUGAAAGAUAUAAAUGGAUAUGUAAGGGGAAAAUUUGAUCGGACGGAGUGUGAUGUUGGAAAUAGAAGGAAGGCCAAGAUGUGUCUGGUUAUAUAUAUUGAUGAGGAAAUCGAUGUGUCGGAAGAUGUUGAUAUUUCACCGGAUGAGCAUUAUGAUCGGCGUGAAGAUAAAUAUGAACAUAGGUUUAUUGAUGAUCAUACCACUCCUACCGGCCAAUUCUCCCAGAGUAGUGAACAAGGUGGUGAGAACAGUGACACUAAUGACAUGAUGGCUUUCUGCAGGUAUAAUCCGAGCUGGCCAAUCCUCAGGUUUGGCGGUCAGUUUGUCGCGUGCUCCUCCUGUCCUGAAUUUGGGGUCAUGUUCAGUGCCUGCUGAACCUGCUUUCUCUGUUCUGAAUCCGAACUUGGGAUCUUCUUUAGUGGCUGCUGAACCUGCUUUCUCUGUUCUAAUCCGAACUUGGGAUCUUCUGCAGUGGCUCCUCAGUCGUUCAACCGUUCGUCUGAAACUUUUCAUUUGUGUAUGUUGUCUUCCUCUUUUUUUUCUUACCUCUUAUUUUUUCCAGUUGGUUAAAUCAAAUAAGUUUAGUUUUUCCUAAAAAAAACAUUUCUUACUUUUGUGAUACA